AUUGAACGCUGGCGGCAUGCCUUACACAUGCAAGUCGAACGGCAGCACGGGUGCUUGCACCUGGUGGCGAGUGGCGAACGGGUGAGUAAUAUAUCGGAACGUACCUUAUUGUGGGGGAUAACGCAGCGAAAGCUGUGCUAAUACCGCAUAAUCCCUAAGGGGGAAAGCGGGGGACCGUAAGGCCUCGCGCAAUUAGAGCGGCCGAUACCUGAUUAGCUAGUUGGUGAGGUAAAGGCUCACCAAGGCAACGAUCAGUAGCUGGUCUGAGAGGACGGUCAGCCACACUGGGAGUGAGACACGGCCAAGACUCCUACGGGAGGCAGCAGUUGGGGAUUUUGGACAAUGGGUGCAACCCUUAUCCAGCAAUGCCGCGUGAGUGAAGAAGGCCUUCGUGUUGUAAAGCUCUUUUGUCAGGGAAGAAACAGCAGCUCUAACACAGUUUGCGAAUGACGGUACCUGAAGAAUAAGCACCGGCUAACUACGUGCCAGCAGCCGCAGUAA
RNAcentral lists this ribosomal RNA (501 nucleotides) under uncultured bacterium. RNAcentral describes it as "partial 16S ribosomal RNA". It matches the Rfam family "Bacterial small subunit ribosomal RNA", at positions 30 to 523 of the family's 1533-position model. The record is from RNAcentral.